Non-coding RNA from Capsicum annuum, 107 nucleotides. NCBI's taxonomy places the organism in Eukaryota, Viridiplantae, Streptophyta, Magnoliopsida, Solanales, Solanaceae. The record is from Rfam.
AUGUCAUGAUGUAGGCAUUUUCUUAGCAUUAUGUUUAACCUUUCCCAAGCUUGAUAGACUGAUUCAGUAUCAAUCUGUAGAAAAUUUGAUAUAUCCUAUCUUAAUUU